ACCAGGCGAUGUGAGACUCAUCUCGCUAGCCCGUCAUCCAGACCCUGACUCAGCCGAGACUCAUCUCACACUUCCGGCUGGUAAUUGGCUCUGAUACCAUCUGAGACGCCCCAACUUCCCAGGGGGUCACCCAUCCUAGGACUACUCCCGUCCUAGCACGCUUAACUCUCUCAACCUCUUGGGCCUUACCACCACCCAAAAUGCUUAAGCCGGGUUAAGAGUUUAGCCCUAUUAUAUCUCAUAUAUAGGACUAUCUGGGGUCUCACAAUGAUUUAUUCUUAUCCUAAACUUAUUAGGAUAAAUUCCAAUCCACAUCUUAAGUGGAUCGGGUUAAAUUAAAACCCGCCAAUGUGAACACACCACAUGGCUACAGCUAGAAAUG
RNAcentral lists this long non-coding RNA (382 nucleotides) under Ananas comosus (pineapple). RNAcentral's name for it is "long non-coding RNA (ACOM_LNC034541)". Lineage: Eukaryota; Viridiplantae; Streptophyta; Magnoliopsida; Poales; Bromeliaceae. The record is from RNAcentral.